This 253-nucleotide ribosomal RNA is filed under the name uncultured bacterium. Its description in RNAcentral is "partial 16S ribosomal RNA". It matches the Rfam family "Bacterial small subunit ribosomal RNA", at positions 524 to 776 of the family's 1533-position model. The record is from RNAcentral.
UACAGGGGGUGCAAACGUUGCUCGGAAUCAUUGGGCGUAAAGCGCACGUAGGCGGUUCGUUAUGUCAGAUGUGAAAGCCCUUGGCUUAACCGAGGAAGUGCAUCCGAAACUGGCGAGCUAGAGUACUAAAGAGGAUCGCGGAAUUCCCGGUGUAGAGGUGAAAUUCGUAGAUAUCGGGAGGAACACCGGUGGCGAAGGCGGCGAUCUGGGUAGAUACUGACGCUGAGGUGCGAAAGCGUGGGGAGCAAACAGG